CAGCUACUCUACAGCUCAGUAUUUUGGCUCCUGUUGUAUCACUAAGCAUGAAACCAAUUGACGUUCUGGGCUAUGCCAUCAGGAAUGAUUUUGCUCCAAAUGUAGCAAUAGCACUUCGAAUACUGC
Long non-coding RNA from Bufo bufo (common toad), 126 nucleotides. RefSeq lists it as uncharacterized. The transcript is spliced from 3 exons. NCBI's taxonomy places the organism in Eukaryota, Metazoa, Chordata, Amphibia, Anura, Bufonidae. The record is from RefSeq and is a predicted model, not a curated record.